This 1413-nucleotide ribosomal RNA is filed under the name Triticum aestivum (bread wheat). RNAcentral describes it as "partial small subunit ribosomal RNA". The record is from RNAcentral. Lineage: Eukaryota; Viridiplantae; Streptophyta; Magnoliopsida; Poales; Poaceae.
AUGCUAGCAAGAUGGGCAGCAUAUCUUGAGAGGUUUAACUAUCUCAUCGUGCAUAAAUCUGGAAUAACUAACAGAGUGGCCGAUGCUUUGAGUCGUCGUGCAUGCCUCUUGACUUCUUUUGAAGCUGAACUUCCGGGCAUGGGUCAAAUAAAGGAGUUGUAUGAGGGUGACGAAGACUUUGGCCAUGUUUGGGUAAAGCACGCAAGGGGCCAACCAUUAGGUGAUGACUAUUUGAUGCAAGAUGGAUAUCUCUUCAAAAAUGAUCGUUUGUGCAUUCCAAGAAGUUCUCUACGUGACAAGCUGGUUAGAGAGCUCCAUUCAAGUGAUCUUAGUGGCCAUGUUGGACGGGACAAGACUAUCGCUAACCUGGAAGCUCGCUACUUUUGGCCACAACUAAAGAGAGAUGCUGGAAAGUUCGUUCAACGGUGCCCCGUAUGUCAGACCUGCAAAGGCCAAGUCCAGAACACAGGGUUAUACAUGCCUUUGCCUGUUCCUGUUGCUCCAUGGGAGGACAUUUCUAUGGACUUCGUCUUGGGCUUGCCAAGAACAAGACGAGGAAGUGAUGCUGUAUUUGUGGUCGUGGAUAGAUUCUCUAAGAUGGCUCAUUUCAUCCCAUGCCGCAAGACAACGGAUGCUCAUCAUGUCGCAAACCUAUUCUUUCGAGAAGUGGUCAGACUUCAUGGAGUUCCAAGGUCCAUUGUCUCAGACCGUGAUAGCAAGUUUCUUGCUGCAUUUUGGCUCACUUUGUGGAAGCAAUUCAACACUGAAUUGAAAUUUUCUAGCACUGCUCAUCCACAAACAGAUGGACAAACGGAAGUGGUGAACAAGUUUUUGGGUAAUCUGAUCCGUUGCAUUUGUGAAGAAAGAAAGGGGCAAUGGGAUUUGGCUUUAUCUCUUGCAGAGUUCUCCUACAAUAACUCCAAGCAUAGAUCCACAGGAAGGAGCCCUUUUUCCAUUGUCUAUACUAAAGUUCCAACACAUGUGGUGGACCUGGUGAAGCUGCCAUCAAGGGGAAACUCAAAAUCAGCAUUGUCCUUUGCUGAUAAUUACACCGAGUUAUUUGAAGAGAUUCGCGGCGCUUUGGAAGCACAAAAUCAGAAAUAUAAACAACUUGCUGAUUGCAAAAAGAGGCCAAAAUCAUUCCAAGUCGGUGAUAAGGUGAUGGUCUACCUCCGAAAAGAGAGGCUGCCUUUAGGUGUUAAAGGGAAACUUAGGCAGCGAAGGUAUGGGCCCUUCUCUAUCAUGAGGAAGAUAAAUGAUAAUGCUUAUGUGAUAGAUCUUCCAAGUGACAUGGGUAUCUCCAACACUUUCAAUGUUGCGGACUUGACUCUCUACCAUCCAGAAGAAGCGCUCUAUGAAGAUAACUCGAGGGCGAGUUCCAAACAACCAGGGGAGAAUGAUGAGGAACACUAG